RNAcentral lists this ribosomal RNA (1944 nucleotides) under human gut metagenome. RNAcentral's name for it is "bacterial LSU rRNA". It matches the Rfam family "Bacterial large subunit ribosomal RNA", at positions 3 to 2013 of the family's 2925-position model. The record is from RNAcentral.
UCAAGUUAAAAAGAGCACUAGGAGAAUGCCUAGGCACCAAGAGGCGAAGAAGGACGCGAUAAGCUGCGAAAAGCUACGGUAAGGAGCAAAUAUCUAAUGACCCGUAGAUGUCCGAAUGGGGAAACCCACCUCGAAGAGGUAUCCUAUAGCCAAUCCAUAACUAUAGGAAGCGAACCAGGUGAACUGAAACAUCUAAGUAACCUGAGGAAAAGAAAGAAAACUCGAUUCCCCAAGUAGCGGCGAGCGAACAGGGAAGAGCCCGAAGUGUAAAAAGAGAAAAUAGCCAGCCGAAUCCUCUGGGAAGAAGAACCAAAGAAGGUAACAGUCCUGUAGGCGAAAGCGAAAAUAUCCGACACAAAAGAGUACCACGGAACACGAGAAAUUCAGUGGGAACAUGGGGGGACCACCCCCUAAGGCUAAAUACUACUUGGUGACCGAUAGCGAACAAGUACCGUGAGGGAAAGGUGAAAAGAACCCCGGGAGGGGAGUGAAAUAGAAUCUGAAACCUAGUGUUUACAAGCAGCGAAAGUGGCAUAAGCCACGAUCGUGUACUUUUUGUAGAACGGGCCAGCGAGUUACGAUUAUUAGCAAGGUUAAACAUUAAAGAUGUGGAGCCGCAGCGAAAGCGAGUCUAAAUAGGGCAGAAGUUAAUAGUCGUAGACCCGAAACCGUGUGAUCUAUCCAUGGGCAGAGUGAAGUUGAAGUAAAAUUCAAUGGAGGCUCGAACCGGGUAGCGUUUAAAAGCUAUCGGAUGACCUGUGGAUAGGGGUGAAAAGCCAAACGAACACGGAGAUAGCUGGUUCUCCUCGAAAUAGCUUUAGGGCUAGCCUCUAGUGGAAAUGUGAAAAGGGGGUAGAGCACUGAAUGGUCGCGGGGCAUGCAUAUGUUACCAAGACCUAUCAAACUCCGAAUACCAUAUCACACACUAGGGAGUCAGACUAUGUGGGAUGAGCUUCAUAGUCGAAAGGGAAAGAGCCCAGACCAUCAGCUAAGGUCCCAAAAUUAUAGUUAAGUGGGAAAGGAUGUGGAGUUACUGAGACAACUAGGAUGUUGGCUUAGAAGCAGCCACUCAUUCAAAGAGUGCGUAAUAGCUCACUAGUCAAGUGACUCUGCGCCGAAGAUAACCGGGGCUAAACUAUAUACCGAAGCUAUGGAACGUAUAACGUUGGUAGAGGAGCAAUGUAUGAAGGACGAAGCAGAAGUCGUAAGGCACUGUGGACAUCAUACAAGAGAGAAUGCUGGCAUGAGUAGCGAGAGGUGAGUGAGAAUCUCACCCGUCGAAAACCCAAGGAUUCCUGAGCAAGGCUCGUCCACUCAGGGUAAGUCGGGACCUAAGGCGAGGCUGAAAAGCGUAGUCGAUGGACAACAGGUGGAAAUUCCUGUACCGAUACAAUCGUUAAAAAGGAAGUGGGGACGCAGGAGGAAAGUAAGAGCGCCCAGUUGGUGAGGCGUGCAAGCGCAAAGUCUGGAAAGUAGGCAAAUCCGCUUUCCGAAAAGGAUGAAGCGUGAUGCGGAUCGAAAACAAGUAGAGAAGCUUACGGACCCACACUGCCAAGAAAAGCCACUACAAGAGAAGUAUCGCCCGUACCGUAAACCGACACAGGUAGGUGAGGAGAGAAUCCUAAGACGAGCGGAAAAACCUUUGUUAAGGAACUCGGCAAAAUGACCCCGUAACUUCGGGAGAAGGGGAGCCCCUGUAACAGGGGGCCGCAGUGAAAAGGCCCAAGCGACUGUUUACCAAAAACACAAGUUUCUGCAAAGUCGAAAGACGAAGUAUAGGAGCUGACACCUGCCCGGUGCUGGAAGGUUAAGGGAAAAAGUUAGCGCAGGCGAAGCUUAGAACUGAAGCCCCAGUAAACGGCGGCCGUAACUAUAACGGUCCUAAGGUAGCGAAAUUCCUUGUCGGGUAAGUUCCGACCCGCACGAAAGGUGUAACGAUUUGGG